UGGCUGUUGAGAUGUACGAACUUCCGGUUGUCCUGGCGGCUGUCGCUGCCGCUGCCGCUGCCCCUGCCACCUGCCAGGGCCGGGCCUCGGUUCAGGAUUUGGUCACUUCAUCUCCGUUCUCCACUGUGCCCAUGGUUCCUCCUGGAGCCAGGGCGGCGGGCCCGGCGGCUCCGGAGUGGUGAGAGGGCGGUCCGGGGACGAUGAAAGUCCCGCACUGCAGCUGCUGUUUUAGCCACCUCUUGGCCUCCGCCCUCCUGCUACUGCUAUUGCUGCCAGGUUUGGGAGGGCCUUUGGCUUCGUUGCUGCAGGCGGCCGAGGCCGCACCUGACCCUGGGCCUCCGGACCGCGGGCUGCGGACCCUGCCGCCCCCGCCCUCCGGCCCCUCCGCCGCCCAGUCUCUGGGAGGCGCUCCGGCAGAAGCCGCAGGGCCGCGGGGCGCAGAGGGCGGCAAUGGCAGUAGCACCCGGGCGGGGCUUUCAGCAGAUGACUCCGGAGGAAAGGCCGGGGAAGAAGACUCAGUGGGUGGGAGCCUUGCUGUGAGCCCCAACCCCGGCGACAAGCCUAUGACCCAGCGGGCCCUGACCGUGUUGAUGGUGGUGAGCGGCGCGGUGCUGGUGUACUUCGUCGUCAGGACAGUCAGGAUGAGAAGAAGGAACCGAAAGACUAGGAGAUACGGAGUUUUGGACACUAACAUAGAAAACAUGGAGUUGACACCUUUAGAACAAGAUGAUGAGGAUGAUGAUAACACUUUGUUUGAUGCCAGUCAUCCUCGAAGAUGAGAAUGUGCCUUUUGAUGAGAGGACUUCAUCUUUCUACAGUGAAGAGCAGAAUUUCUAUGUUUAAGGAAUAAGAAGCCACUUUAUCCCUGGGGCGGAGGGGGGUCAAGGCUAAUGGAGAAACCUCUGCUUGGAAUAUUGCCUCAUAGCUAAAUGUCCAGACGUGUGAACUGCAUGCUAGUUCAUAAGCUUCUGCCCUAAAGUGAUAUAUUUCAUUUCCAUCUACAUUUUAUUGGUCCAAACAAACCCUAAAGCUACUCCAGAGUUCAACAAGGCAAGGAUAGGUUAUCUUCUAGCAAUGAGGUAAGUUGAAGUACUUGGCCACCCAAAAUGCCAACUUAGUUUUAUCAGGUAUGCUAACUGGCUUCAGCACAGUGAGUCAAGUCCCCCUGAUGUCACUGUAUUUUUAUAUGUUAUGUAAGCAGGGACUUAAAGUGAAAAUACAUUUCCUCUUCUAAAGGGAUUAGCGUCUCUUUGGCUCCCAUAAUAGUGACUAUGAGGAAACACUUGCCUAGUGAUACUAAGUCAUAGUUUUAUUUCCCAAGAGAAGCCAAGACUCCAGAUUUCUUGUAUGAAGUUUCCUCAUUUUGAAGUGUUACUAAAACAGAACACAUUUUUGGAUUUAAGUUUAGUUCCAUACCUACCAUUUUGUGAUAUUUGAAAAUCAUAUACAGUAGUAUCUUAGAAAUAGUAGUAAUUAAUUUACUGACCACUGUUAUUUAUAAACUGACUUUUGCAUUAAAACUAAAUGGAGGUAAUAAUCAAAUCUACCCUAGAAUAAGAAUUCUGUUUAAGAUAAGUGAUGAUAAUUUUAAUAAAUGAUCUCCGAGUUAGGUUUAAAGAUGUUAACAAUCUGUUACUGACUGUGAACAAUCAAUUGAGAUAACUCACUACCUUUGGACCAGGAAUGAAACAUGAGAGACUAUGGACUAUGAGAAACAAACUGGGGGCCUCAGAAGGGAGGGGGG
This is an RNA transcript of Ailuropoda melanoleuca (giant panda), 1744 nucleotides long. It is a transcript of the gene named family with sequence similarity 174 member A, with no coding region annotated. The record is from RefSeq and is a predicted model, not a curated record. NCBI's taxonomy places the organism in Eukaryota, Metazoa, Chordata, Mammalia, Carnivora, Ursidae. The transcript has 4 exons.